Molecule: non-coding RNA, 124 nt
Filed under: Foraminifera environmental sample
Lineage: Eukaryota; Foraminifera
Source: RNAcentral
AGACAUACAUACACAAAUAAAUAAAUAAAUAAAUGAAUAAUUGACCAUUUUGCUAACUUUGCAAGAGUGUGCAUGCGUUUGCCUUCGUUUUGUUUUGUUUUUCAAUCUGUUUCUCUAUUUUGCG